UGGCUUCGGCCAUCAGUAAAGCGGCGGACGGGUGAGUAACACGUAGGUAAUCUUCCCUUGGAGCGGGGGACAACGAGCCGAAAGGCUCGCUAAUACCGCAUACGUUUCCAGAGACCCCGGUCUUUGGAAGGAAAGCUAGGUAGCAAUAUCCGGCACUCGAGGAGGAGCCUGCGUCGCAUCAGCUAGUUGGUGGGGUAACGGCCUACCAAGGCGAAGACGCGUAGCUGGUCUGAGAGGAUGAUCAGCCACACUGAAACUGAGACACGGUUCAGACUCCUACGGGAGGCAGCAGUGGGGAAUAUUGGACAAUGGGCGCAAGCCUGAUCCAGCCACGCCGCGUGAGUGAUGAAGGCCUUCGGGUCGUAAAGCUCUGUGGGGAGGGACGAACCGCUGCCGGUUAAUACCCGGCAGCAUGACGGUACCUCCUUAGCAAGCACCGGCUAACUUCGUGCCAGCAGCCGCGGUAAUACGAAGGGUGCAAACGUUGCUCGGAAUUAUUGGGCGUAAAGCGCACGUAGGCGGCUUAGCAAGUUGGAUGUGAAAU
This 544-nucleotide ribosomal RNA is filed under the name uncultured bacterium. RNAcentral's name for it is "bacterial SSU rRNA". It matches the Rfam family "Bacterial small subunit ribosomal RNA", at positions 75 to 600 of the family's 1533-position model. The record is from RNAcentral.